Molecule: ribosomal RNA, 440 nt
Filed under: uncultured bacterium
Lineage: Bacteria
Description: partial 16S ribosomal RNA
Rfam family: Bacterial small subunit ribosomal RNA
Source: RNAcentral
CCUACGGGAGGCAGCAGUGGGGAAUAUUGCACAAUGGACGGAAGUCUGAUGCAGCGACGCCGCGUGAGUGAAGAAGUAACUCGGUAUGUAAAGCUCUAUCAGCAGGGAAGAAAGUGACGGUACCUGAAAAAGAAGCUCCGGCUAAAUACGUUCAAGCAGCCGCGGUAAUACGGAGGGAGCCAGCGUUAUCCGGAUUUACUGGGGGUAAAGGGAGAGUAGGUGGCAGAGCAAGUCCGAAGUGAAAACCCAAAGCUCAACAAUGGGAAUGGUGUAGAAACUGGGCAGCUGGAGUGCAGGAGAGGUAGGUGGAAUUCGUGGUGUAGCGGUGAAAUGCGUAGAUAUUAGGAAGAACACCGGUGGCGAAGGCGGCUUGCUGGACUGUAACUGACGCUGAGGCUCGAAAGCGUGGGGAUCAAACAGGAUUAGAUACCCCAGUAGUC